AGGGGAAACCACAGGGAAGUGUUCACGGGGGCCAGUGUGGGGCUGCUUAGUCAUCGCCCAAAACACCUGAUGCGAGUUCAUUAAGGCACCAGAUUAGGUGGAGGAUGUUCAGGCUGUUCUGGUUGGAGAGAUUCUUGCCCCCCUGCUUUUAUUGCUGCUAGGAGUUGCACCACCUGAUGUCUGGCCAUUGUAAUGCCUCUGUCCAAAUGAGGAACAAACAAACAAAACAAUCAACCCUCACCCCAAAAGAGUCCUCCAAUGGCUUUGGCUGGAGGCAGUACUGAGUUCUGUUUGCAGCAGCUGAGUGGGCAGGUUUUAGGGGAGAGACCUGCCCCCUCAGAGAGCAGUGACACCCAGGGUAGUGCAAUGACCUCUUCAGCUGGUGUAGCUGCAGAUGGGAGACACCGUGCAGCUGGGAGCUCUCUCAGCAGGGUUAAAGACACUGAGGGUGAAUGCCAGUGUUCACAGCCGUUCUGCUAAGCUUGCCACAGCUUGCCGCAGCUGCUGCUACCCUAUGACUGCAAGAGAGAGAAAUCCAGUCCUAAAAACUAACAUCAAGUAUCUCAGAGCCCUGGAAAAUUAUCUGGUUUUACUUGAGCGUUUCACUUGAGCUCUGUGUACUUGCAUCGAUACUUGGUCAAACAUCCUCUUGUGUUUCCCCAGCGGAACGCUGAAGCUAUGCAAACCGGACCGUAGAGCUGUCCCCGUGUCCCCAGGCUGCACUGGCUUCUGCACUCAUCAGUACCCGAGCCAGCCUUGUGCCGUGCUCCACGUUCCCUCGUGGAACUGCUCCUGGAGCUGCCCUUCCUGGCCUGCCAGUGGAGAUCUCUUCGGUCUCCUGUUGCGCCCUGGUUUCUCAUGCGAACGAGGCUCGGUUUCGUCUGCCCUUUGGCUUGGAAGAGUUGUGCUUUGGAAAUACUUGUGUGAGGGCUGGGCUGCAGAAAGCACUUGCAGCAGAGAUGUACUGGGGCCUGAGCAGAGCUUGUGUACUCAGGCCAUAUGGGAGAGCUUUUAAGACCAUUAUUAUUUGUUUGCUACAGCUCUGCAACUUCCUCUUCCCCUUUAUACAUGCUUUUUUCUGACAUGCUGUCACUGCCUUCAUCUAUCCUGAUAAAGCAAAGAACAUGGUAUAAUUUUCCUACCUUCUGCUCUCGAGUUGCUGGUUUAAUGAGAGAUAAUUUCCCCUGAACAAUAUUAGGGGAGAAAAAAAAAUCUGUCUGCCAAGGUUCUUUGUAUAGGAACAAAAGUUACCAUCAGCAGGCUUCCCCACGAAUAGCCAAGCAGGGCAAUCAGGUGCAGGGGGUGAAGAGCCUUCAGGGAACUCCUCAGGACUUGCUGCUUCCAACGUUUUGGGGAAGUCCCCACACCU
Long non-coding RNA from Pogoniulus pusillus (Red-fronted tinkerbird), 1369 nucleotides. RefSeq lists it as uncharacterized. The record is from RefSeq and is a predicted model, not a curated record. NCBI's taxonomy places the organism in Eukaryota, Metazoa, Chordata, Aves, Piciformes, Lybiidae. The transcript has 2 exons.